UAGGGAAUCUUCCGCAAUGGGCGAAAGCCUGACGGAGCAACGCCGCGUGAGUGAUGAAGGUCUUCGGAUCGUAAAACUCUGUUAUUAGGGAAGAACAAAUGUGUAAGUAACUAUGCACGUCUUGACGGUACCUAAUCAGAAAGCCACGGCUAACUACGUGCCAGCAGCCGCGGUAAUACGUAGGUGGCAAGCGUUAUCCGGAAUUAUUGGGCGUAAAGCGCGCGUAGGCGGUUUUUUAAGUCUGAUGUGAAAGCCCACGGCUCAACCGUGGAGGGUCAUUGGAAACUGGAAAACUUGGGCGCAGAAGAGGAAAGUGGAAUUCCAUGUGUAGCGGUGAAAUGCGCAGAGAUAUGGAGGAACACCAGUGGCGAAGGCGACUUUCUGGUCUGUAACUGACGCUGAUGUGCGAAAGCGUGGGAAUCAAACAGG
Molecule: ribosomal RNA, 429 nt
Filed under: Bacteroidota bacterium
Lineage: Bacteria; Pseudomonadati; Bacteroidota
Description: Bacteroidetes bacterium partial 16S ribosomal RNA
Rfam family: Bacterial small subunit ribosomal RNA
Source: RNAcentral